AAGCAGUGAAGUUUGUUCUCACAGCUUUACUGCAGACCACUAACUGGAGAGGCCCACACUCAUUGCUUCACCACUUCAACAUUGUGAUUUUUCCAACGUUUCCAGCAGUACCAUUAAAUUCAUCGCCAUGGAGAUGCGUUGGUCAGCUCUGACCCUGCUGCUGGUUCUGUGUGUCAUUCCAUACACUGAUGCUCAGACGG
This is a non-coding RNA of Electrophorus electricus (electric eel), 200 nucleotides long. The record is from RefSeq and is a predicted model, not a curated record. NCBI's taxonomy places the organism in Eukaryota, Metazoa, Chordata, Actinopteri, Gymnotiformes, Gymnotidae.